Molecule: small nucleolar RNA, 72 nt
Filed under: Gigantopelta aegis
Lineage: Eukaryota; Metazoa; Mollusca; Gastropoda; Neomphalida; Peltospiridae
Source: RNAcentral
UUGCAAUGAUGAUUAAAUUUCUAUAGCAGAAACAAUGUGUUGACUUAAAUGAGCUUUUUAAAUCUGAGCAAA